This 72-nucleotide transfer RNA is filed under the name Liachirus melanospilos (carpet sole). RNAcentral's name for it is "tRNA-Ser". It matches the Rfam family "tRNA". Rfam says of the family: Transfer RNA (tRNA) molecules are approximately 80 nucleotides in length. Their secondary structure includes four short double-helical elements and three loops (D, anti-codon, and T loops). Lineage: Eukaryota; Metazoa; Chordata; Actinopteri; Pleuronectiformes; Soleidae. The record is from RNAcentral.
AAGGAAGUAACAUAAGGUUAAAUGUGUUUGGCUUGAAACCAAAGUAUGGGGGUUCGAUUCCCUCCUUUCUCG